GCUUUUAAAAAAUGUUUUUAAGAGGAAUGGCUGCUGAAGUGAAUGGCAGCUCUGCUCCUGCAAAAGAAGAAGAGGAGCCUAUGGACGUUUCGACGACGCACACAGAGAACUACCAGACUCUCAUUGAUGCUGGACUUCCCCAGAAAGUAGCUGAGAGUUUGGACAACAUCUUCCAGACUGGUUUGGUGGCCUAUGCUGAUCUUGAUGAGAGGGCGAUCGAUGCUCUGCGUGAGUUUAACGAAGAGGGAGCUCUGUCUGUACUGCAGCAGUUUAAAGAGAGUGACUUGUCUCAUGUUCAGAAUAAGAGCGCUUUCCUGUGUGGUGUCAUGAAGACCUACAGACAGAGGGAAAAGCAAGGCAGCAAAAUACAGGAAUCCACAAAAGGCCCUGACGAGUCCAAGAUAAAGACUUUGCUGGAGAGGACCGGAUAUACCCUGGAUGUCACUACAGGCCAGAGGAAAUAUGGCGGCCCGCCCCCAGAGGCAGUUUUCUCCGGCACGCAGCCUGGUAUUGGCACCGAGGUGUUUGUGGGGAAAAUUCCUCGGGACUUGUAUGAAGACGAGCUGGUUCCGCUGUUUGAGAAGGCAGGGCCCAUAUGGGACCUGAGGUUAAUGAUGGACCCUCUGUCCGGACAGAACCGCGGCUAUGCGUUCAUCACCUUCUGCAGCAAAGACGCAGCACAGGAGGCUGUCAAACUGUGUGAUAAUUAUGAGAUCAGGCCAGGGAAGUAUUUGGGUGUCUGCAUAUCGGUCGCCAACAACCGACUGUUUGUGGGCUCCAUUCCAAAGAACAAGACCAGGGAGAGUAUUUUGGAGGACUUUGGCAAAGUGACAGAGGGUCUACAGGAAGUGAUUCUGUACACGCAAGCCGACGACAAGAAGAAGAACCGAGGUUUCUGCUUUCUAGAGUAUGAGGACCACAAGUCAGCAGCGCAGGCCCGCCGCCGCCUCAUGAGCGGUAAAAUUAAGGUGUGGGGCAAUCCCGUGACUGUGGAGUGGGCCGAUCCGGUCGCUGAGCCUGACCCUGAGGUCAUGGCCAAGGUGAAGGUGCUGUUUGUCCGUAAGCUAGCCACUUCUGUCACAGAGGAGCUGUUAGAGAAGACCUUCUCACAGUUUGGGAAACUGGAACGUGUUAAGAAACUGAAAGACUAUGCUUUCGUUCACUUUGAGGAGAGGGACGCUGCUGUUAAGGCCAUGGAAGAGAUGAAUGGGAAGGAGCUUGGGGGAGAGGAGAUUGAGAUUGUCCUGGCUAAGCCUCCAGAUAAGAAGAGGAAAGAGCGGCAAGCUGCCCGACAGACCAGCAGAAACACAGGGUAUGAUGAUUAUUACUACUACCCCCCACCUCGCAUGCCACCCCCGGGCCGCGUCCGUGGACGAGGUGGUCGCGGUGGCUAUUCUUACCCACCCGAUUACUACGGCUAUGAAGAAUACUACGAUGACUACUACGGUUACGAUUACCAUGACUACCGUGGUGGUUAUGAUGAUCCGUACUAUGGGUAUGAAGAAGUGUACCCGAUAAGGGGACGUGGCAACCGAGGGAGCCGUGGCGCUCCGCCUCCUCCCAGAGCACGCGGGGUUCCCCCGGCUCGUGGCAGAGGCGGCUAUGUGCCGAGGGGAGGCGCCCCCAUGGGGGCAGGACGAGGAGGACGUGGAGGAGGACGAGGCGGCCCUUUCCAAUCACCCAGGGGUGGACGUGGCACCAGGGGUGCCCGUGGGAAUCGUGGUGGCAACGUGGGUGGAAAGAGAAAGGCAGACGUGUUUAACCAACCGGAUUCAAAACGACGCCAGACGACCAAUCAGCAGAACUGGGGGUCGCAGCCAAUCGCUCAGCAGCCGUUACAGCAAGGGGGCGACUACUCCAGUAACUACUACAGCAACGACACCCUGGAGUUCUCCCAAGAUUCCUACGGGCAGCAGUGGAAGUAGACGACACACACAUCAUCCCCCAUAAAAAGGUAUCCGAGCGAGAGAGAGAGCCGUUGCUAGCUUGAGGAACACACCAGAACUGUGUUCUUCUCCAGCAGGGGAGCAAAGCAUUUCCUUGUGGGUCCCAACAUCAUACCUCAGAAGCCCCUGGAUUUUCAGAGACCUCAGGGUGCUCCAAACUUCUCUCCUUGUGUCUCGCAUGUGUGCGCACCUGAUUUUUCCGCUCAUCGGGUUCACCCUGCAGCGCAGAUACAAAGUCCAGAGUGUGGGUGCAAAGUAUCCGCCUUGUUUCGGGUCAAUAUAACACUUUAAAGAAACCAUGACGUUAAUAUAUUUGCACAACACAUCUCCGAUGCAGUCAAAAAAAAAAAAAAAAAAUUUCGAUAAUUUUUGUCACUUUAUCAAUGUACACACUAUGGCCAAAAAUAUGUGGAGACCUGACCAUCACACCUAUAUGUGGUUCUUCCCCAAACUAUUGCCACAAAGUCUGAAGCACACAAUUGUAUAGAAUGUCUCUGUAUGCUGUAGCUUUACAAUUUCCCUUAACUGGAACUCAAACCUGUUCCAGCAUGACGACGCCCCUGUACACAAAACGAGCUCCAUGAAGACACUGUGUGUUAAGGUUGAAGUGGAAGAACUUCUGCACAGAGCCCUGACCUCAACCCUCCUGAACAUCUUUGGGAUGAACUGCACCCCAGGUCUCCUCAGAUAUAAAUCUGGAAUGUGGUGUCUAAAAACGAUUCAGCAAAAUGUGACGUUAGGAAUUACUUUUGCUUUGAUGAGGACAUACAAAACAAUAAACCCUUGAUUGUUUUCAGGAUCAUUUUUAAAGCACAAUCUACCGUCAAACAAUCUUGCCAUGUUCAUAACAUCACUGUAAAUUACCUUAAUAACAGUUAACAUGUAAAAUUACAUGUUAAUAAUAGGGGGAAGUGACACCUUCUGCCUUUGAGUACUUUUCGUUCACUCUUACCUCCAGUAGGCUGCUUCAUCUGCUUUCACCUCCAUAUUUCUAUCAUAGUGUUUUCAAAGUCUCUAUCCCUGAACUGUUAACAACAUCAGUCUGACAGUCAUACCCAAGUUCCUGUUAGCACUUUUUUAAUAAUUAGCUUUAUUUGGCUUAGGCAUAUAUGGCCAAUAAAUUAAUUAAUUAGUAAAUCUGUAGGCUAGUGUUGAGCUCCAGGGACACUAUCCCACUGUCCUCUUGGAACAUAUGCAGGGCAGUCGUAGCUCAGUGGUUAAGACUGGACGUUUCAGUUUGGAAGGACGCGAGUUCAAAUCCCAGCACACCAAGCUGCCGCUGCUGGGCUGUCGAGCAAGGCCAUUAACCCUCAACUUCUCAGUUGUCUAAAGGUAAGUUGCUCUGGAUUAGGGUGUCUGAUAAAUGUCAUAAAUAUGUAAAUCUUCCAUAUGACAAAAUAAAUGCAAUGUUGUCAGGGUGAAGUUAUUCAGUUUAAACAUAAAAGUAACUUUUUUUCCA
Molecule: RNA transcript, 3405 nt
Organism: Ictalurus punctatus (channel catfish)
Lineage: Eukaryota; Metazoa; Chordata; Actinopteri; Siluriformes; Ictaluridae
Gene name: heterogeneous nuclear ribonucleoprotein R
Exons: 13
Source: RefSeq, a predicted model, not a curated record